RNAcentral lists this ribosomal RNA (650 nucleotides) under uncultured bacterium. RNAcentral's name for it is "bacterial SSU rRNA". It matches the Rfam family "Bacterial small subunit ribosomal RNA", at positions 73 to 720 of the family's 1533-position model. The record is from RNAcentral.
GCUUGCUUAAGUGGGUGGCGAGUGGCGGACGGGUGAGUAAUGCAUCGGGACCUACCCAGACGUGGGGGAUAACGUAGGGAAACUUACGCUAAUACCGCAUACGUCCUACGGGAGAAAGCAGGGGAUCUUCGGACCUUGCGCGGUUGGACGGACCGAUGUUCGAUUAGCUUGUUGGUGAGGUAAUGGCUCACCAAGGCCGCGAUCGAUAGCUGGUCUGAGAGGAUGAUCAGCCACACUGGGACUGAGACACGGCCCAGACUCCUACGGGAGGCAGCAGUGGGGAAUAUUGGACAAUGGGCGCAAGCCUGAUCCAGCAAUGCCGCGUGUGUGAAGAAGGCCUUCGGGUUGUAAAGCACUUUUAUCAGGAGCGAAAUACCACGGGUUAAUACCCUAUGGGGCUGACGGUACCUGAGGAAUAAGCACCGGCUAACUUCGUGCCAGCAGCCGCGGUAAUACGAAGGGUGCAAGCGUUAAUCGGAAUUACUGGGCGUAAAGCGUGCGUAGGCGGCUUGUUAAGUCUGCUGUGAAAUCCCCGGGCUCAACCUGGGAAUGGCAGUGGAUACUGGCAAGCUAGAGUGUGUCAGAGGGUGGUGGAAUUCCCGGUGUAGCGGUGAAAUGCGUAGAGAUCGGGAGGUACAUCAGUGGCGAAG